AGUGAACGCUGGCGGUAGGCCUAACACAUGCAAGUCGAACGGCAGCACAGGAGAGCUUGCUCUCUGGGUGGCGAGUGGCGGACGGGUGAGGAAUACAUCGGAAUCUACUUUUUCGUGGGGGAUAACGUAGGGAAACUUACGCUAAUACCGCAUACGACCUACGGGUGAAAGCAGGGGAUCUUCGGACCUUGCGCGAUUGAAUGAGCCGAUGUCGGAUUAGCUAGUUGGCGGGGUAAAGGCCCACCAAGGCGACGAUCCGUAGCUGGUCUGAGAGGAUGAUCAGCCACACUGGAACUGAGACACGGUCCAGACUCCUACGGGAGGCAGCAGUGGGGAAUAUUGGACAAUGGGCGCAAGCCUGAUCCAGCCAUACCGCGUGGGUGAAGAAGGCCUUCGGGUUGUAAAGCCCUUUUGUUGGGAAAGAAAUCCAGCUGGCUAAUACCCGGUUGGGAUGACGGUACCCAAAGAAUAAGCACCGGCUAACUUCGU
This 489-nucleotide ribosomal RNA is filed under the name uncultured Gammaproteobacteria bacterium. RNAcentral describes it as "bacterial SSU rRNA". It matches the Rfam family "Bacterial small subunit ribosomal RNA", at positions 29 to 506 of the family's 1533-position model. Lineage: Bacteria; Pseudomonadati; Pseudomonadota; Gammaproteobacteria. The record is from RNAcentral.